CCUACGGGUGGCUGCAGUGGGGAAUAUUGGACAAUGGGCGAAAGCCUGAUCCAGCCAUGCCGCGUGUGUGAAGAAGGCCUUCGGGUUGUAAAGCACUUUCAGUGGGGAAGAAAGCCUUGGGGCUAAUACCCUCGAGGAAGGACAUCACCCACAGAAGAAGCACCGGCUAACUCCGUGCCAGCAGCCGCGGUAAUACGGAGGGUGCGAGCGUUAAUCGGAAUUACUGGGCAUAAAGCGCGCGUAGGCGGUCUGAUAAGCCGGUUGUGAAAGCCCCGGGCUCAACCUGGGAACGGCAUCCGGAACUGUCAGGCUAGAGUGCAGGAGAGGAAGGUAGAAUUCCCGGUGUAGCGGUGAAAUGCGUAGAGAUCGGGAGGAAUACCAGUGGCGAAGGCGGCCUUCUGGACUGACACUGACGCUGAGGUGCGAAAGCGUGGGUAGCAAACAGGAUUAGAUACCCCGGUAGUC
Molecule: ribosomal RNA, 465 nt
Filed under: Vreelandella stevensii
Lineage: Bacteria; Pseudomonadati; Pseudomonadota; Gammaproteobacteria; Oceanospirillales; Halomonadaceae
Description: partial 16S ribosomal RNA
Rfam family: Bacterial small subunit ribosomal RNA
Source: RNAcentral